GUCGAGAAUCUUCGGCAAUGGGCGCAAGCCUGACCGAGCGACGCCGCGUGGAGGACGAAGGCCUUCGGGUUGUAAACUCCUGUCGAGGGGGAGGAAGGCAUGGCAACAUGCUUGACCGAUCCCUGGAGGAAGCACGGGCUAAGUUCGUGCCAGCAGCCGCGGUAAGACGAACCGUGCGAACGUUAUUCGGAAUCACUGGGCUUAAAGCGCGUGUAGGCGGACCGGCACGUCCGAUCGUUGAAAGCCCCCGGCUCAACCGGGGAAGUGGCGGGGAUACGGCCGGUCUGGAGGGGGGUAGGGGGACCUGGAACUUCCGGUGGAGCGGUGAAAUGCGUUGAGAUCGGAAGGAACGCCCGUGGCGAAAGCGAGGUCCUGGACCCUUUCUGACGCUGAGACGCGAAAGCCAGGGGAGCGAACGGG
This 420-nucleotide ribosomal RNA is filed under the name uncultured Singulisphaera sp. RNAcentral describes it as "bacterial SSU rRNA". It matches the Rfam family "Bacterial small subunit ribosomal RNA", at positions 354 to 776 of the family's 1533-position model. Lineage: Bacteria; Pseudomonadati; Planctomycetota; Planctomycetia; Isosphaerales; Isosphaeraceae. The record is from RNAcentral.